GCCUCGGUAGUGUAAUGGUCAAGACGCUUGCCUGGUGAGCAGGAGGGUGUGGGUUCAAUCCCAGUUCAGGCA
RNAcentral lists this transfer RNA (72 nucleotides) under Diaphorina citri (Asian citrus psyllid). It matches the Rfam family "tRNA". Rfam says of the family: Transfer RNA (tRNA) molecules are approximately 80 nucleotides in length. Their secondary structure includes four short double-helical elements and three loops (D, anti-codon, and T loops). The record is from Rfam by way of RNAcentral. Lineage: Eukaryota; Metazoa; Arthropoda; Insecta; Hemiptera; Psyllidae.